Rattus norvegicus (Norway rat) is the source of this 3264-nucleotide non-coding RNA. The record is from RefSeq and is a predicted model, not a curated record. Lineage: Eukaryota; Metazoa; Chordata; Mammalia; Rodentia; Muridae.
GAGCGCAUGAAUCUGCAAAUGAAGCAUGUAUUUGCUUAAGGACGGUUUUUAUUUUCCCUGCAUUCCCUCUAAUGUUUUGAAGUGCUCUCUCUUAAAUUAAAAGCGCAGAGAGUCACGGUGGCUAUUCGGCCUUCUCGCUCGAGAUUUAGCGCGCCUAAGUUCCGUUACCGAGCCCCCGAGUUCCCUGACUGUUUCACAGCUCUCCCCUUGAUGAACUCCUGGGUGACCUUGCUACAGCAUUGUAGGUAGGAUAUAAGGAAGAUUUUAAAUUCUAGCGGCACCAAAUGUUAAAGAACCGUGAGACGCCAUCAGCGCGUACACUGCUGUUCCCACACACCCACGUCGUGGCUCCUUGUGCCCUCACAAAGGAUGAUGGUAGGUAAGGCAGCCCCGCCCUGUGAGCAGAGUCAGUGCAGAGCCAGACUCCUCACCUGCUCUACGAGGAUGUCGCUCCUACUGAAGCUUAUCGAGUUGGCAGAGAAUCAGUGUCUCAGAUUCUGAAUAUAAAAUGAACCUGUCAAUACUUUAACAGUGAUUUACCAAUUUCACGUAACACCAAUAAAAUAGACCACGUGGAGGAAAAUAAUCCUACUCAGGUUUGCUCUUCCUCCUUCUCCACCGUCCUAGCCCGCCUUCCCAUUCUAGUGCAUUAAAGUAAGUUUGAAUUGGUUCCGUUUAGAACAUGAAAGUGCCGCAAAUAAGCAAACGCCAAGUUCAUACAACUGCCACACAAACUCAAUCACGGCCAAUGUCAGAGCGUGCAUCUGAGCUCUGUGCAUGAACAGAGCUUCCGGACUCUGCCCGUGUGUUCACACGCGUGUGUUUUAUUAACCAGAGAGGAACAAUUGGAUACCGCUGCUGCAGAGCACGGACUUUUCAUACAGUGGCCUCACUGUUUUCUAUGAUUGUUUUCAGAAAUAUACAUAGGUGUCCACUGUUUAUUUCAUGGUAGACUGAAAUAAUUUUCUAGUUUUGAGCAUUGCAUUGUUGGAAAAACCCAGCUAUUCUGGUUAACAGUCAAACAAAUGUCCCAUUUGUUGAAUCUCUGUGAUUAUUCUUAAAUAAAUUUGUGUAAGUAGACUUACAUACUUUAUAGACAAAGAAAAUGAAAACCAACAAGGCCUUCAACUGUGUGUUGUCAAACCCUUCCAAGGAGGCAGAGUCACACAAAGCCCCAGUGACAUAUGCCAGUCCCUGGAUGCUCCUGUCUCAAAGAUCUUGAUAAUUCGUCCGUUUUCCAGAUUCAAACCACGAUGAUACGAAAGGAUCCUAAAGCUUCCCAUGUGAACUUGUUCUGUCUUAAGUGACUCCCCUAUCGCUGUAUAGUGACUUGACUCACACGUGACUCCUAGAUACUCAACUCAGAAAAUGAAGAAGUAUUACAUGGCACGGCUGCCGAUCAACGCAUACAAGAGGACUCAAGUCCAUCUGUGAGGGAAGAACAAGGUCCAGCAAUGAGAAGAGAAUCUCCCUUCAUUAGGAGUUGACUGAAAACUGAGGUUGGAGAUCGGAACUGAGUGCUCCGGUUUCUAGCAGGCAUUUUAUUGACUGAGCCAUCUCCUAAGUGCCCCGCCUCCUUCUCUGCCACCACACUGAAGAUUCGAAGACAUGCUUUGAGUUGGGGAUUCAAGAAUUGGACCCACAGAAAUUGCUCUCCAAAGUACAGAAAAAUGAUCUCAACGAGACACAUGUGUUUUUGCUUCCAGUUGCCACCCUCGAGGUCACAGACUUUUAGAGUCCUAAUGAGUCCCUUUUAGGGCAAAGAGAACUAUGGACGCACCCAGGGAAUCCAGCCCCUGAGGACUGCGGUUGUUUCCUCAUCUCUGUUCAUCUGUUUGUUUAUUAAUUUCUAAAACCUUCUGAAAUACAUAGUGAGAGGCCAUAACUAGAAUUCCCUCAACAUAACCAAAAAUUCAACGAGAUUAAUGUCCUAACCGUAUUUAUUCGUAGAGAAUGGCCAUGCCCUCUUCUUCAUUUGUGUUUGGGCUGGAGGCUGAUGCUUACUCGCAAAACAAAAGGCUAUUAAAUUACUGUAACAUAGAUGAUGUCUUUGCUGACCAAAGACAUCAUGCCUUUGUGUCCAAAGGUCUAUGGUCAGAUGGAGAGUCAGCCACAACAGACUUAAGGGCCUGCUUAUACUCUACUCAUCAAAUAACUGAAAAGUAUAAGACAGCAAAAUACACAUUUUUGAGCCAAUCAUUUAGUAUCCUUACCUUGCCAAAAUGAUUCAUUAAGAAAGGUUUUCAAAGCCUUCCCCAUGCUCUUCCAAAUUUUCCUCUAAAAUAUGUGUCAUUUGGGAUCUCAUGCUAAGGAAGGUUCCGGGGUUUACCUUUGGAAACUCAAAGCACUCUAACUGAGAAGUAAGUCCGACCUAGGGAAGGACUUGGAGGAGGCAAUGGUCUCCUUGGAUGUCUUUGUCUCUGUAGAACUUGGGUUACUCCUGGUUCUUGUGAGAACUUACAGAGCUGAACGGCACAUAAGCAGAAAGCUCAAGGUCCCGCCGCUGGCCUUAUUCUGGUGCUGUGAACGGAGCCCUGUUCAGAGAGACAUCAUAAAAGUCUUCAGGAUUGAUGCGUGGAAAAUGCAAAGUAUGUCCAUCUUGGAAAUGGAGGGAUGGAGUCCAUCGUGAUGCAGACGGUCAGCAGCAGGAGGAGGAAGAUGGCUAUCGCAUUUCCUAGGCACACAGGAAGCAGACAGCCACAGAGAGAAUGGGAAGUGAAGCCAGGCUAAAAGCUAACCCCAAAGCUAACCCCAGUGAUGCACCCCUUUAGCAAGGCUCCACCUCCUAAAGGCUUCACAACCUCUCCAAACAGCACCAACAUCCAAGGACCUCACAAGGACAUUUCUCAUUCAAGAAACAACAAGGCCCUUCAACGCAUGUUUUUGUGUUGUUUUUGUAAACCCACCUGCCCAUAUCUAAAUAAGUUUCUGGCCUUAUAUCCCAUUAUUUCUCAAUUCCUCAAUAGCUAUUCUCUACAGAUAGUGUGGUAGUUGGAAUAUGCUGGGCCCAUGGGAAGUGGCACUAUUACGAGGUGUGGCCUCGUUGGAAGAAGUGUCUCUGUGUAGGAGGGCUUUGAGGUUUCCUAGUCCUCAAAUUCUGCCCAGUGCAGAGUGGAGGACAAUCUCCUCCUGGCUGCCUUCUAAUCGGGUGUAGAAAGCUCCUUCUCCAGCACCAUGUCUGCCCGGAUGCUCCCACCAUGAGGAUAAUGGACUGAACCUCUAAAACUGUAAGCCAACCCCAAUAAAAUGUUUUCAUUCAUAGGA